CCUACGGGAGGCAGCAGUGAGGAAUAUUGGUCAAUGGACGAGAGUCUGAACCAGCCAAGUAGCGUGAAGGAUGACUGCCCUAUGGGUUGUAAACUUCUUUUAUAUGGGAAUAAAACGUUCCACGUGUGGGAUUUUGUAUGUACCAUAUGAAUAAGGAUCGGCUAACUCCGUGCCAGCAGCCGCGGUAAUACGGAGGCUCCGAGCGUUAUCCGGAUUUAUUGGGUUUAAAGGGAGCGUAGGUGGAUUGUUAAGUCAGUUGUGAAAGUUUGCGGCUCAACCGUAAAAUUGCAGUUGAAACUGGCAGUCUUGAGUACAGUAGGGGUGGGCGGAAUUCGUGGUGUAGCGGUGAAAUGCUUAGAUAUCACGAAGAACUCCGAUUGCGAAGGCAGUUCACUGGACUGCAACUGACACUGAGGCUCGAAAGUGUGGGUAUCAAACAGGAUUAGAUACCCUAGUAGUC
RNAcentral lists this ribosomal RNA (460 nucleotides) under uncultured bacterium. RNAcentral describes it as "partial 16S ribosomal RNA". It matches the Rfam family "Bacterial small subunit ribosomal RNA", at positions 338 to 795 of the family's 1533-position model. The record is from RNAcentral.